This 1506-nucleotide ribosomal RNA is filed under the name metagenome. RNAcentral's name for it is "bacterial SSU rRNA". It matches the Rfam family "Bacterial small subunit ribosomal RNA". The record is from RNAcentral.
AGAGUUUGAUCCUGGCUCAGGACGAACGCUGGCGGCGUGCCUAAUACAUGCAAGUAGAACGCUGAAGAGAGGAGCUUGCUCUUCUUGGAUGAGUUGCGAACGGGUGAGUAACGCGUAGGUAACCUGCCUUGUAGCGGGGGAUAACUAUUGGAAACGAUAGCUAAUACCGCAUAACAAUGGAUGACACAUGUCAUUUAUUUGAAAGGGGCAAUUGCUCCACUACAAGAUGGACCUGCGUUGUAUUAGCUAGUAGGUGAGGUAAUGGCUCACCUAGGCGACGAUACAUAGCCGACCUGAGAGGGUGAUCGGCCACACUGGGACUGAGACACGGCCCAGACUCCUACGGGAGGCAGCAGUAGGGAAUCUUCGGCAAUGGGGGCAACCCUGACCGAGCAACGCCGCGUGAGUGAAGAAGGUUUUCGGAUCGUAAAGCUCUGUUGUAAGUCAAGAACGGGUGUGAGAGUGGAAAGUUCACACUGUGACGGUAGCUUACCAGAAAGGGACGGCUAACUACGUGCCAGCAGCCGCGGUAAUACGUAGGUCCCGAGCGUUGUCCGAAUUUAUUGGGCGUAAAGCGAGCGCAGGCGGUUUGAUAAGUCUGAAGUUAAAGGCUGUGGCUCAACCAUAGUUCGCUUUGGAAACUGUCAAACUUGAGUGCAGAAGGGGAGAGUGGAAUUCCAUGUGUAGCGGUGAAAUGCGUAGAUAUAUGGAGGAACACCGGUGGCGAAAGCGGCUCUCUGGUCUGUAACUGACGCUGAGGCUCGAAAGCGUGGGGAGCGAACAGGAUUAGAUACCCUGGUAGUCCACGCCGUAAACGAUGAGUGCUAGGUGUUGGAUCCUUUCCGGGAUUCAGUGCCGCAGCUAACGCAUUAAGCACUCCGCCUGGGGAGUACGACCGCAAGGUUGAAACUCAAAGGAAUUGACGGGGGCCCGCACAAGCGGUGGAGCAUGUGGUUUAAUUCGAAGCAACGCGAAGAACCUUACCAGGUCUUGACAUCCCGAUGCUAUUUCUAGAGAUAGAAAGUUACUUCGGUACAUCGGUGACAGGUGGUGCAUGGUUGUCGUCAGCUCGUGUCGUGAGAUGUUGGGUUAAGUCCCGCAACGAGCGCAACCCCUAUUGUUAGUUGCCAUCAUUCAGUUGGGCACUCUAGCGAGACUGCCGGUAAUAAACCGGAGGAAGGUGGGGAUGACGUCAAAUCAUCAUGCCCCUUAUGACCUGGGCUACACACGUGCUACAAUGGUUGGUACAACGAGUUGCGAGUCGGUGACGGCGAGCUAAUCUCUUAAAGCCAAUCUCAGUUCGGAUUGUAGGCUGCAACUCGCCUACAUGAAGUCGGAAUCGCUAGUAAUCGCGGAUCAGCACGCCGCGGUGAAUACGUUCCCGGGCCUUGUACACACCGCCCGUCACACCACGAGAGUUUGUAACACCCGAAGUCGGUGAGGUAACCUUUUGGAGCCAGCCGCCUAAGGUGGGACAGAUGAUUGGGGUGAAGUCGUAACAAGGUA